AUGAUGGAGGGCGCCGCCCAGUUCCCGGCCGAGAUACGCCGGCUCCCCUCUUCUCGGGGCCAGCCCCUCCCCCGUGCCGGGUCGAGCCUCGGCUUGGAGGCCCUUGGGGCUGCCGUCGGUGCGGGAGUCCCGCGCGGCCAUGCGGGCUGGGGACCGAGCGGCGGGCCGGCCACCUGUGCCCUGUCCGCCCUGCUGCUGAGCCAUCCUUGUACCGUUGCACACAUCUUCGCACCACGCGGCCAGCCUCUGGUGCGCACCUCUGCUUUUACUAGCCGCGAACCACGAGCAUCACCUGUUUGGUGUUGCGCCUACGAGCGUGUUGGAGAAAUCUGUGUCCAGAGGGUGGCGAAGAUUGAUGCGGAGAGGAAGACGAUGGCGACAGAGAGCGUGUGUACUCCAGCCUGUUGGAUUUAUCACAGAUGCCCCACUAAUUUGGCUUGA
Molecule: ribosomal RNA, 441 nt
Filed under: Triticum aestivum (bread wheat)
Lineage: Eukaryota; Viridiplantae; Streptophyta; Magnoliopsida; Poales; Poaceae
Description: partial small subunit ribosomal RNA
Source: RNAcentral